This 2905-nucleotide ribosomal RNA is filed under the name Yersinia enterocolitica. RNAcentral's name for it is "bacterial LSU rRNA". It matches the Rfam family "Bacterial large subunit ribosomal RNA". Lineage: Bacteria; Pseudomonadati; Pseudomonadota; Gammaproteobacteria; Enterobacterales; Yersiniaceae. The record is from RNAcentral.
UUAAGCGACUAAGCGUACACGGUGGAUGCCUAGGCAGUCAGAGGCGAUGAAGGGCGUGCUAAUCUGCGAAAAGCGUCGGUAAGGUGAUAUGAACCGUUACAACCGACGAUACCCGAAUGGGGAAACCCAGUGCAAUUCGUUGCACUAUUGCAUGGUGAAUACAUAGCCAUGCAAGGCGAACCGGGGGAACUGAAACAUCUAAGUACCCCGAGGAAAAGAAAUCAACCGAGAUUCCCCCAGUAGCGGCGAGCGAACGGGGAGGAGCCCAGAACCUGAAUCAGCGUAUGUGUUAGUGGAAGCGUCUGGAAAGUCGCACGGUACAGGGUGAUAGUCCCGUACACAAAAAUGCAUAUGUUGUGAGUUCGAUGAGUAGGGCGGGACACGUGACAUCCUGUCUGAAUAUGGGGGGACCAUCCUCCAAGGCUAAAUACUCCUGACUGACCGAUAGUGAACCAGUACCGUGAGGGAAAGGCGAAAAGAACCCCGGCGAGGGGAGUGAAAUAGAACCUGAAACCGUGUACGUACAAGCAGUGGGAGCACCUUCGUGGUGUGACUGCGUACCUUUUGUAUAAUGGGUCAGCGACUUAUAUUUUGUAGCAAGGUUAACCGAAUAGGGGAGCCGUAGGGAAACCGAGUCUUAACUGGGCGAAUAGUUGCAAGGUAUAGACCCGAAACCCGGUGAUCUAGCCAUGGGCAGGUUGAAGGUUGGGUAACACUAACUGGAGGACCGAACCGACUAAUGUUGAAAAAUUAGCGGAUGACUUGUGGCUGGGGGUGAAAGGCCAAUCAAACCGGGAGAUAGCUGGUUCUCCCCGAAAGCUAUUUAGGUAGCGCCUCGUGAACUCAUCUUCGGGGGUAGAGCACUGUUUCGGCUAGGGGGUCAUCCCGACUUACCAAACCGAUGCAAACUCCGAAUACCGAAGAAUGUUAUCACGGGAGACACACGGCGGGUGCUAACGUCCGUCGUGAAGAGGGAAACAACCCAGACCGCCAGCUAAGGUCCCAAAGUCAUGGUUAAGUGGGAAACGAUGUGGGAAGGCAUAGACAGCCAGGAUGUUGGCUUAGAAGCAGCCAUCAUUUAAAGAAAGCGUAAUAGCUCACUGGUCGAGUCGGCCUGCGCGGAAGAUGUAACGGGGCUAAACCAUGCACCGAAGCUGCGGCAGCGACGCUUAGGCGUUGUUGGGUAGGGGAGCGUUCUGUAAGCCGUUGAAGGUGACCUGUGAGGGUUGCUGGAGGUAUCAGAAGUGCGAAUGCUGACAUAAGUAACGAUAAUGCGGGUGAAAAACCCGCACGCCGGAAGACCAAGGGUUCCUGUCCAACGUUAAUCGGGGCAGGGUGAGUCGACCCCUAAGGCGAGGCUGAAAAGCGUAGUCGAUGGGAAACAGGUUAAUAUUCCUGUACUUGGUGUUACUGCGAAGGGGGGACGGAGAAGGCUAGGCUAGCCGGGCGACGGUUGUCCCGGUUUAAGCAUGUAGGCGGAGUGACUUGGUAAAUCCGGUUGCUUAUCAACGCUGAGGUGUGAUGACGAGUCACUACGGUGGUGAAGUAGUUGAUGCCAAGCUUCCAGGAAAAGCCUCUAAGCAUCAGGUAACAUUAAAUCGUACCCCAAACCGACACAGGUGGUCAGGUAGAGAAUACUCAGGCGCUUGAGAGAACUCGGGUGAAGGAACUAGGCAAAAUGGUGCCGUAACUUCGGGAGAAGGCACGCUGGCAUUAGGUAAAGAGACUUGCUCUCGGCGCCGAAGCCAGUCGCAGAUACCAGCUGGCUGCAACUGUUUAAUAAAAACACAGCACUGUGCAAACACGAAAGUGGACGUAUACGGUGUGACGCCUGCCCGGUGCUGGAAGGUUAAUUGAUGGGGUCAGCCGCAAGGCGAAGCUCUUGAUCGAAGCCCCAGUAAACGGCGGCCGUAACUAUAACGGUCCUAAGGUAGCGAAAUUCCUUGUCGGGUAAGUUCCGACCUGCACGAAUGGCGUAAUGAUGGCCAGGCUGUCUCCACCCGAGACUCAGUGAAAUUGAACUCGCUGUGAAGAUGCAGUGUACCCGCGGCAAGACGGAAAGACCCCGUGAACCUUUACUAUAGCUUGACACUGAACAUUGAGCCUUGAUGUGUAGGAUAGGUGGGAGGCAUUGAAGUGUGGACGCCAGUCUGCAUGGAGCCAACCUUGAAAUACCACCCUUUAAUGUUUGAUGUUCUAACUCGGCCCCAUAAUCUGGGGUGAGGACAGUGUCUGGUGGGUAGUUUGACUGGGGCGGUCUCCUCCCAAAGAGUAACGGAGGAGCACGAAGGUUAGCUAAUCACGGUCGGACAUCGUGAGGUUAGUGCAAAGGCAUAAGCUAGCUUGACUGCGAGAGUGACGGCUCGAGCAGGUACGAAAGUAGGUCUUAGUGAUCCGGUGGUUCUGAAUGGAAGGGCCAUCGCUCAACGGAUAAAAGGUACUCCGGGGAUAACAGGCUGAUACCGCCCAAGAGUUCAUAUCGACGGCGGUGUUUGGCACCUCGAUGUCGGCUCAUCACAUCCUGGGGCUGAAGUAGGUCCCAAGGGUAUGGCUGUUCGCCAUUUAAAGUGGUACGCGAGCUGGGUUUAGAACGUCGUGAGACAGUUCGGUCCCUAUCUGCCGUGGGCGUUGGAAGAUUGAGAGGGGCUGCUCCUAGUACGAGAGGACCGGAGUGGACGAAUCACUGGUGUUCGGGUUGUCAUGCCAAUGGCAUUGCCCGGUAGCUAAAUUCGGAAGAGAUAACCGCUGAAAGCAUCUAAGCGGGAAACUUGCCUCGAGAUGAGUCUUCCCUGGGGCUUUAAGCCCCCUGAAGGAACGUUAAAGACUAUGACGUUGAUAGGCUGGGUGUGUAAGUGCAGCGAUGCAUUGAGCUAACCAGUACUAAUGAUCCGUGAGGCUUAACCUU